RNAcentral lists this ribosomal RNA (492 nucleotides) under uncultured bacterium. RNAcentral describes it as "partial 16S ribosomal RNA". It matches the Rfam family "Bacterial small subunit ribosomal RNA", at positions 29 to 507 of the family's 1533-position model. The record is from RNAcentral.
AGUGAACGCUGGCGGUAGGCCUAACACAUGCAAGUCGAACGGCAGCACAGUAAGAGCUUGCUCUUACGGGUGGCGAGUGGCGGACGGGUGAGGAAUACAUCGGAAUCUACUUUUUCGUGGGGGAUAACGUAGGGAAACUUACGCUAAUACCGCAUACGACCUACGGGUAAAAGCAGGGGAUCUUCGGACCUUGCGCGAUUGAAUGAGCCGAUGUCGGAUUAGCUAGUUGGCGGGGUAAAGGCCCACCAAGGCGACGAUCCGUAGCUGGUCUGAGAGGAUGAUCAGCCACACUGGAACUGAGACACGGUCCAGACUCCUACGGGAGGCAGCAGUGGGGAAUAUUGGACAAUGGGCGCAAGCCUGAUCCAGCAAUACCGCGUGGGUGAAGAAGGCCUUCGGGUUGUAAAGCCCUUUUGUUGGGAAAGAAAAGCAGCAGGUUAAUACCCCGCUGUUCUGACGGUACCCAAAGAAUAAGCACCGGCUAACUUCGUG